AACCUUCGUAUCGUUCGCCCUCUCGCGGGGCAAAUCCGUGAUGAUCGGCUUCUUCUGGCAGUUCAUCACUUGCGAGAAAUCAAGGCUAGUGUAGUGCUGCGCUGCGAUGCCGUAGAUGCAGUCCGCAUAGUCUAUCUGGCUUGGAUCACGUCGUAGCUAAACGAGAGGUCGCCCUUCCGACGGGGCAACAGCUUCGUUUUCAGUUGCUUGACCUUGUACUUCGGAUCCCGAAUGCAGCACGCGUACAUUGAAGUCUCUGCCAAAUCACAUUUCCUAAGAUGUGAGCAAUCGCAGAAGGGAAGAUCAAGCAAUCUUGUGCAACAGAUAAUCGAUCGAUGCCAGAGUUUAAGCCGAUCAGUGAUGUCACAGCAGGUUACAGAAGAAAUAUGAGCCACGAUCGAGAAAUUUUCCGUAUCACAUGUGCCACUUACUCUUAUGUACAGGUGCAGGACAUUUGUAUCCAUCAUUCUCGAGCCGUAUCGUCUUUGGCAUCGGGAUGCCUGGCGGUUUCACACCAAAUUGUGUGCCCGCGAUCUGAACUAUCGCCUGGAUUUGGGCCAAAUCCCCUGCAGUUUGGAUCGAUGUCUUCAGAUCUGUCUGAGGAUACCCUGAGAAGGACGUCCCAUUCCCGACCGAGGCUGGGAAAUCCUGGCUGCCGACCAGGACUGCCCCACCCGCUGAGACUAGAAUCUCCUGGUGCUGGAAUCCAAUAAAUAUCUUCCAGGCCUGGAGCUCAUGCGUGCCCGUGUUCAAGACCGUCGCAGUUGAGUUGAAGGCCCAGGACUGCGCCGACGCAUUCUUCACGUGCGGGAAUUCCUUGACCCUCGAGAUGAAAUUGUAGGAGAUGAAGAUGCCGUUGCAGUUCUCUUCCGCUGGAGGAGGAGCUGCAGGCGGAUCAUCAUCGUAGUCCUGAGCAUUGACGUUGUUCUGGAUUGCAAAACAAACAAAGAGAAUGAUGAACAAGCUCAAUGCUCUUCUGGCUUCGCUCAUGAUGUCCUAGGAUUGUAGUGGUAUUUUCAAGGGAAAUCUCUCCAGGAAAAUCUCAUCUGAAAUGAACCUGAAGAUUUCAUUGAUGUGUGCUCAUUUCCUCCUCCCUCUUUUGUUAUUCUUUUGUUCAGAGUGAUUGAAUCUUGAUCUUUUGGUUAUUGGGGAGGGGGAGAGAGAGAGAGAGUGAAAAGUGGGGUGAAGGAGGAAAAGUGGAAAUGGAGGGAGAGAAGCACAAGUGUGCAAAAUUAGCAAGGGACAAAUUCAGCUCUCCA
Molecule: long non-coding RNA, 1259 nt
Organism: Eucalyptus grandis
Lineage: Eukaryota; Viridiplantae; Streptophyta; Magnoliopsida; Myrtales; Myrtaceae
Exons: 2
Source: RefSeq, a predicted model, not a curated record